AGGCUCCUUGAUGUGGAUGUAAUAGUUUAAUGGCACAAGGUGACCUCAGAAGGACUACCAAAGUUUUCAUCCCUAUUAAUACACUAAAGGAAGGAUAGCUGGGAAAACAGUCAAAAAAGGUGAAGAGUGAGGAAGCCAAUGUGCCAGCCAAGCUUCACAUUGUCAGUGCUCGGCUGAGGAAAUAUACUUGCUCCUGGACAAGACAGCUUUAUAAAUGCCAAAGAUGUGACUCUCCAGUCUGUGAAAACAAUCAACUGUAAUCUGCCAGUGCUGGUUUGUGUCCUGAGACCCGUAAGAGGUGAUCAU
Molecule: long non-coding RNA, 306 nt
Organism: Mesocricetus auratus (golden hamster)
Lineage: Eukaryota; Metazoa; Chordata; Mammalia; Rodentia; Cricetidae
Exons: 3
Source: RefSeq, a predicted model, not a curated record